AUUGAACGCUGGCGGCGUGCUUAACACAUGCAAGUCGAGCGGUAACGCGGGGGCAACCCUGGCGACGAGCGGCGAACGGGUGAGUAAUGCUUCGGGAUCUUCCUCGUAGUGGGGAAUAACUUGGGGAAACUCAAGCUAAUACCGCAUACGAACUACGGUUGAAAGCGGGGGAUCGCAAGACCUCGCGCUAUGAGAUGAGCCGAAGUCGGAUUAGCUAGUUGGUGGGGUAAUGGCCUACCAAGGCGACGAUCCGUAGCUGGUCUGAGAGGACGACCAGCCACACUGGGACUGAGACACGGCCCAGACUCCUACGGGAGGCAGCAGUGGGGAAUAUUGGACAAUGGGCGCAAGCCAGAUCCAGCGACGCCGCGUGUGUGAAGAA
RNAcentral lists this ribosomal RNA (382 nucleotides) under uncultured bacterium. RNAcentral's name for it is "bacterial SSU rRNA". It matches the Rfam family "Bacterial small subunit ribosomal RNA", at positions 29 to 412 of the family's 1533-position model. The record is from RNAcentral.